UCUUGACACCUGCUUUGUACGGUUAUACCCCGUAUUUUUAGGAUCUGGGAGCGGCGUCGGCGGUGGCGGUGUCCUCCAGCGGCGGGCGGCGGGCGACGGGCGAAAUCGGCCAGCGACAGGUGGAAUCGGCUGGAGAGGUAGCGCUCGUGGGUCGCCGCUGCAGUCGCCGGAGAUCGGAGCCGGGCAGAGGCGAGCGGACAAGAACGGGCGACGCUAGGAUGGAGGAGGAGAGCCCUGCCCCGGCGUCGGCUCAGGCUUCUGCUCCCUCUCCCACUCCCGCCGCCGCUGUUGGUGGUGUAGCGCCUCUGGAUCCAGCGGGAAGGUGAAGCGCAUCAUGAAGACGCCCUAUCAGUUGGAGGUUCUCAAGAGGACUUACACAGUUAGGGCUCACAGACAAGCAGCUGCAGAUGUGGUUCUGCCACCGGCGGUUGAAGGACCGUAAACCACCGCCGAAGCGGCAGCAGCUGGAGGAGGAGGUUCAUGUGCCAGUUAUGGCGCCGCCUCCUGUGCUGCCACCACCGCUGCCACACAGCGAGCUAACAAUGGCUCCUGGUGGGAUGUAUGGCGAGCAGUUGCUGCCCUCCUCUUCCCGUAGAGGAACUGGCCGGCCAUCAGCCAUUCUUGAUAUGUCUGAUCUUCAGUGCCUCCCCCUACUCACGAGCCACGGUUAACAAAGCAUAUUGAGCACAUAAUAGAUUUGAUAACCAAGAUGGAUUGGAUUGUAUUUCUGAACUACCGGACUACAUAUGGUCCCAUUCAACAUGCUACGGUUUAUCGGAAUGUUUUGACAGAACAUACUUUUUCAGGCCUAAUAUUCUUAAUUUUACUUGUGGCCAGCGACAUUGAAGCUGAUUGAUUGUAUUCCUCAUCAAGGGAAAGCAUGGCAGAUUGUACAGCUUGAUGCACUUGACGAGAGGUACUCAUCCACUUGAUUUCUGCGUCCUCAGCGGUGAUUAUUUCCAUCUGUGCACAGGUGAGAUCUGGCUGCCUAUUUCGUUUUGUGUUAUUGGAAGCACAUCGAUCACAACUCUACAAAUUUCUCAUGUGUGUUCUGGGCAGGCUUGUUAGCUGAUAUGCACACCUCUGCUCAUCUUAAUGAUGUAACAAAUGUCGAUUUAUAUCACUAGUGCUUGGCUUUUGGGCUAUCGGUUCAUCAGUCUUUGGACAACAUUUAAUUGAUAAGCCAACAGUUUCUUAAAUAUUCUUUUUGAUGUGCUUGUAGUUUCUUAGAUUUUCUAGUUGAUAUCUUGAUUGGCUAAUAGUUCUAUGAAUGUUUUUGGUUCACACAGACAUGCGCAGAAGUGACAAUUUUUCAAUCUGUCUAGUGGCUGCUCUCAACUCUCAUGUUGAUUUGUAACGGUUAUUGCUGAAUGAAAGAUGGACUGAGAAUUUUCGUUCAGAGAAAUUAUAUUCAGAGCUCUGAGUGUCAUGUUCUCUCGGUUUGCAAGUGCAGCCCUUUUCAUAAUUUUUUAGUUUGGUCGGCUGGACAAUUAGAUACUCACAGUUGGGUCAAAAGCUCUGAAAUGUUAUGAAAAUUAUGGGGCUCAUACACAUAUGAUGCUCUAAAUGUCAAUUAGAAAUAUGUCAUUUGCAAAUUUGUGUGUUGUAUUCUCAGAAAUCUGUUCCCAUCUGAAUUUCCAUUUGUUCACUCAUAUUGGUGAGCGUUUUGACCAAAAGAGUUCCUUUAUGUAUUUGUUAUUGGCCUUUUCAAUUCACUGAAUUGCGAAAUGUUCGGUUGCAGGGACUAAGUCAAGCCCUGGAGAGAUGAUUCGGCUAAGGUGGGACACCACCGAUAGCGAGGAGGUCGUUCGCACCCGCAUCCCCUCAAGCACGCCGGGUCAGCACAAGGCGCGCGUGCUCCCGGCGGCUGGCCGCGGAUGGCCAGAUACAAGAGGACCACCGGCCAGCCCUCCAUGGCCGACCCGUUGCCCUCUUUCACUCCAUACCUAUCCACCACGCCGCCAUCGCCUCCGACAACCAUCGGUGUAAUACUAACUUGGUUACUACGAGAAACUCUGUGACAAGACCAAUAUGUUAUGUUGAGAAUCAUUGGUGUAAUUUAGUUACUAAGAGAAAAUGUUAAGAACCAUUAGUUUAAUAGUAACUUGGUUACUACAAAAAAUUUUGUGGCAAGAUCAAUAAGUUAUGUUGAGAAUCAUCGGUACCAUAGUAAUUUAUUUACUAAGAAA
Non-coding RNA from Oryza sativa Japonica Group (Japanese rice), 2189 nucleotides. Lineage: Eukaryota; Viridiplantae; Streptophyta; Magnoliopsida; Poales; Poaceae. The record is from RefSeq and is a predicted model, not a curated record.